This is a long non-coding RNA of Oncorhynchus tshawytscha (Chinook salmon), 1052 nucleotides long. NCBI's taxonomy places the organism in Eukaryota, Metazoa, Chordata, Actinopteri, Salmoniformes, Salmonidae. The record is from Ensembl.
AGCUGCGCUACCCUGAGAAUGACUCGUGCUAUCAGACAAUGGCCGGGACGGCCCUCUUCACCCACACAGCUUUCAAUAUGCUGCAGAACUACAGCAGAUAGCUUUUAAUCUGUUCAGUUAUCAAAAAGAGAAGCUCCAGACGUACAGAAUCGAGAUCGCUAAAGAUGCGAGGAAUGCUGAGACGUUAACAUCUGAAUUUGAGGCAUCCAUCUAUACACCUGCCAUGGCCGCUGUGCUGAGGAUGUGAUCCACACGUUAGCUGACACUCUGCUUCCUGGUGAUGCCCAGACCAGGGUAGAGUGGGUGCAGGAUCCGGACAGACUGAAGGAGAACAUCCACUCUGCUGUAGAGCACCCUCAUCAGACCCUCGGAGCAGUCGCCGACUUCGACCACUACUACAACAAAGCCAAUAGCUGGUACAGCAUCGUCCUGUGUGAGAACUUUCUCCAAGACCUUCUGUGGGGUGUGAACUGUGACAGCCUCCCCAAAUGGUACCACCCGCUGGAGAUGCAUGGCCCUGACCCUGUGUGGAGGCAGGCGGUCUGUGACUUCCUGAGAAGGAACCCCUCCCCAGACAUAGAGGAGCUGGUCCAGCUGGCUCACCUGGCCAAUGUCAUCCCUGACGCCCAGCUCUAGCAGAAGGGCAAACAGCUGUCACAAAGGUGCAUGACCCUGCGAAAACUCCUGACUUCUCCAGGGGCAGUACCUAUCAACAACUUCCAGUUGGCACUGCAGUGGCAGUAUGAGUUUCUGAGAGCCCGCCACAGGAAAGGGCCUGGGCCACACACUAACCUGGGUGUGGGUGGAGGCCCCGAGGCCUUUAACAGUCCAGACGGGGCAUUAUGUAGUCUCCAUAAAACCUCUGGUUCCAGAUCAGACUGAUAACCUGCACAGCCAUGGCUCCCUCUCUAACCUCAAACACCAAGUCCUUCUAGGUACGUCCCCCUCCAGUGCUAUCUCUGGGGCUGUGUCAGCUGUGGGGAAUACUCGCUCUCUCAGCUCCUCUGACUCUGGCUUUGAUGGAGCAGGAAGCAGCCAUGUGGAGACUGGGG